UCCCUGGUGUGCCAAGGGGACUUUGAAAUUCUCUGGGGCCCCUCAAUUCUUUCCCAAGUAUCACUAGCUAUAUGGGAUAAUGGCAGAACCUGAGGAUGGGAGGUACAAGGGAUUCCCUCUGUAAACAGAUGGUCAGGAACCUGACUUCUCCCUGACGCUGCUUGAAGCUCUGACACUGGGCCUCAUACUUGGGCUGAGACAGUGGGUGUGUGCUUCAGAAGAAUCCUGGGCUCAUUGUCACAAGGAGUGAUAUUCAAGAAAACAAUCCUUUGGAGGGCUGUUGAGGAAUUCAGCACCUGGUUUCCACCACUGGCCAGUGAAGAGAUGCUCAGGAAUCCAUGGAAUUUGAGAAUGGAGAGGUCUUCUCUAUUUUAUUCCUCUGGAGUUGGUAUUAUGUACUUAGUCAUUGGCCUUUAACUUCAUUCUUUACAUCACAUUAUUCAAUUUGGUCUAUUAUUCUAAUAAUUGAUAUUCUGUCUUCCAGCAAAUUAAAUCCAGUCCCUGCUUGGAGUUCUCUGAGUUUCCUGGAUCUGUGGUUUGAUAUCUGACAUUAACUUGAGGAAAUUCUCAGUCAUUAUUGUUUCACAUAUUUCUUCCAUUCCUUUUUCUCUUUGUUCUCCUUUGGGAAUUCCAUUGCACGUAUAUUGUUUCUUUUGCAGUUGUCUCAGAUAAUUGUCUCAAUUCCAUUCUAUUGUUUUCAGUCAUUUUUCUCUUUGCUUUUUAAUUUUGGAAGUUUAUUCUGAUAUCCUCAAACUCAGGGAUUCUUUUUUCAGCUAUGUCCAGUCUACUAUUUAAUAAUAAUAAGCUCAUCAAAGGCAUUCUGCAUUUCUCUAACAGUGGUUUUCUUCAUUAGUGUUUCUUUUUGGUUAACCAAAAUUUCUUAGAAUUUCUAUUUCUCUGCUUACAUUGUUCAAUUGUUCUUGCAUGGUAUUUACUUUAUCCAUUAGUGCCCUUUGCAUAUUAAUUAUAGUUGUUUUAAGUUUCUGGUAUUGAAAUUCCAACAUCCCUUCCAUAUCUGGUUCUGAUGUCUGUUCUGUCUCUUCAAACUGUUUUUUGUUUUGUUUUGUUUUGUUUUGUUUGCCUUUCAGUGUGCCUUAUAAUUUUUUCUUGAUAGCAGGGCAUGAUUUAAUGCAUGAAAGGAACUGUGUCAUUGGGCUUUAGUGCUGUGGUGGUAAGGUGUGGGGAGGGGAAACAAGGUAUAGUCCUGUGAGUAGGUCUCAGUAUGUGGCAAGCCUGUGCUUCUGGACUGUAAACUUCAUCAAGUACUUCUCAAUUUUUUAUCCCCCUUUAGGUGGCACAGGGUGGCUGGAGUGGGCUAGAGUUGGAUAUUCCCCUCACUCAAGGUAGUUAGACUCCAAGAAAACCCUGGCAGGCUAGGCUCUGGUUAACUAGUUUCUUCUGAAGGCAGGCCUUCUUCUUCCUGUUAAGAAGAGAGUGCUCUGGUGUAUUCAAAAUAGUUCCUUUUCCCCUCCCUUUGCUGGAAGCAGGAUCCUGUUUGAUCUCUAGGAGGCAAAACUAACAAAAGUGUACCCUUUUCUCCCCGUGCCUGGUGACUGGGUCUAGCCAGAGUUUUUACCUCCAGACUUGUCCACAAUGAACCCCCGGCACUUCGUCAAUUACAGUUCAGAUGUUUCUACCCUGGCACAUGGGGGUUGCUCCUCCAUGGAUUACUGCUCUGUUCACUCAGCUUUUGACUUGUAAGAGUGUUGAGAAGACUUCUUCGCUACUUAUGUGCUGGACCAGAAACCAGAAGUUCACCAGUAUCCUUUGAGUAAAAUUUUUCAAAUAGUUUCAAAUCCACCUUCUAUACUUGUAUUUAAAUCAUAUUUCUGCCAUGUGCCUCAAAGAUAUUGUUGCUGUUAAUUCAGCAUAGAUUUAUUUUUUAUGCUAAUACCUAUUUUGUUGGAGAUUGUGCACUGAAAGACAGAUAUUGAUAUCUAUUUGACAACAGAUAUAUAAAUGUUUGCCACCCGAUAUCCAUUCUCUUUCUUCUGAUAACACACACUGACCUGUUUUCCUCUAGAGAACCAACUCCUGCCCCAGUCUCAACACACCUGAUUCUCAGUUGGAGCUGCUGGCUGCAGCAGGGGACCCCACCUGGCCAGCAUUGUCAUCCUUUGGUCAUGCUGGAUAUUCAAGGAUGCUCCUGUGAUCAAUCCCAUUGAGACUGCAAAGGCUGGGUCCAUCUUGAACCAUAUGAAAAUAAAAUAUGUCUUUUAUUUUUCCUACUAGACUUGAAUCUUGUAAAAAUUAAGGCUUCGCCUGCUAGGGUCACUGUAAGUUGUAGGUAGGUUCUACCUGAAAGGGAGACAGCACAGAAGAAAACUGAAGCAAGAAAAGAAGACAAAUCAACUCCUAAUAAUGUGAUGUGAGGUGUGAGGUCCUUGCAGGCUCAAAGAAGUUUCUAACUGGUUCUCUUUGUAAUCACCAGAGCCAAUUCACAUCUUUUUUUUUUCCCCCCAAGCUUAUUUGAAUUGAAGUCUUCUGUCACUUGGAAUUUCAGAAGCCCUGACAAAUAAAAUGGUUCAUUAAUUGAAUCGGCUAUAUAACAAUUCAAAUGGUGGCCUGACAACAUAUCUGCAGUUGUCAAAAUUCUACCAUAAUAAUUAGACUAUAAAUGGUGUUUAGUCCUAUUUUCAGUAUUCUCAAAAGUGCUGUCUUAGAAAUUAAGCCACCGCUUUUUCUGCACAAGAAUUCCUUUCAUGCCAUCCCAGCAAAUCUGCCUCUAUGUGCUCAGAUGCAGAACUGGUUCUGAAUUGUGCAAAGAGCCACCAUUGCCAGCUCUGCUCCAUUUUUUUCUGGCAGCCCCAGCAUCCAAUCAAGAUUUCUGGAUCUUUUCCAAUUAUAACACCAUUUGGAAAUACUCAGCAUUUUCCAGCCUUGAAUAAUGUAUUGAUCUCUUUAAAGUAGAAAAUAUUCUCACAGACCCCCAAUGUUGACUUAAAUUCUUUUUAUUGUAAUUUUACUUAAAUAUAUAUGCAAACAUAAAACACUACAAACUGUUAGGCUUAUAACUUUUAGACAACUAUAAAAAUAAACUUACAGAACAGAUAUAAUAUAAACUACAAAACCGAUGAAAUGGAAACGAGCUACAUUAGCUUACCAGGACAGAGCAGAGAGUAUUCCCGAAGCCCCAUGCCUGCUCAGCUUGGGAGGCCAAUGUUUCUAAUUACUCUUGAGUUCUGAGCUCAGCAUUGUCAGAGGAUUCCUGCCUAGCGGGGCCUGGAUUCUCCAACAUUUUUCUGUAUUUAGAUUAUUUCAAUGCUUCAUUAGCAUGGCUUCCCAUAAAGUCACUGGCCUCUACUUAACAUAACUGUAGCCGUUAUUUAUGAAGACUCUCUGCUGUGUCUUAUUGAAUCUGUGACUAUUAAAAUUGUACCAAAAGCAGUAUCAGCAUAAUAAUAAACAUCUGAACUGUGAGAAACAAAAUCACAUGAUGGCCCUCAGCAAGGUGAUCAUCUAAAGAUCUAGAAGAUGCUUAUGUAAUUUUUAACCAACUUUAUUGAGGAAUAGUUUACAUACAAUAAAAUGUACAGACUUUAUAUGCUUGGAUGAAUUUUGACAAAUAUAUACAUUUGUAACAAACACACCAAUCAAAAUAUACAUUGUUACCCCUCAGUAACUUUCCUGUUGUCGAUUUCAGUCAAUAUCCUAUCUGACUGCCAUGAAAGUUGUCAGAAUCAAAACAGAGUCACUAAUGUUAGGAAACCACUGACAAAUAGAGCUGGGAAAGGCUAUGAAUAGAAACUUCUCAUGCUUGUAUGCCUGAUAACAAAAAAAGGCUACAAAAACCAAAACUUUGCACAAAGGCUGUCACAACCCUACGCAAAAAAUCUUCCAGGACAUCUAUCUGUCCAGCAACUGCCUGUCCAACCUCUGGCUUGUGUCACCCUUGCUAUAGAUCUUUGUAGUCAAAGAUAAUUAUUUAAAAGCAAUUAUGAAAUUCUUCUCAUUUUCCCUUUAAAAUCCUUAGUUUUCCCUUACCUCCCUGAAUACACACAUAGUUUAGUAUGACAUGUCUAUUCCCACUGCAAUGCCCUAUUCCCCGAUAAGUAUCUUUUCUUUUAGAGAGCCUGACUCUGCUUGUUUUUCAGGUUGAUACUGCCAAACCAAUCCUUCACACACCCAAUAUCAGAAAAUCACUUCCAUUUUGCUUAAGGACUUCCUAUACAUGGAAUCACAUAGCAUCAUAUAGUCUCUUGUGUGUCUUUUUUCACUCAAUACUAUGUUUUUGAGAUCUGUUCAUGUGAUUAUGUACAUUAGGAAACUGUUCAAUGUUCUUGCUAAGUAGUGUCACAUUGUAUGGCUCUUCAAAAGUUUGUUUCUCCAUUCACCUGUUAAAGACAUUUGGGUUGUUUUUGGGCUUUGGUUAUUGGGAAUAAACUGAUAUGUCUUCCUGUGGGUUUAUGCUCUCUGAGAAGUGUAAUUGCUGUAUGUAUAUAUAUAUAUAUACAUUUAUAUAUAUAUAUAUGUGUAUAUAUAUAACCCUAUAAGAAAUUGCUGAAUUACUUUCCAAAAUGUCUGGCCAUGUGUUGUACUUCUACCAGCAGUAUUUGAUAAUUCCCAUUGUUCUACUUCCUUGCCAAUAUUGAUGUUAUUAAUCUUUUUGAAUUUUAGCCAACCUAGUACAUGUGAAGUAGCAUCUCAGCUUAGUUUUAAUUUGCCUUUGCCUUCUAACUAGCCAAUGUCAGACACUUUUUCAUGUGCUUUUGGCGUUUUGUAUAUAUUAUGUUGUAAGGAGUCUAUUUAUAAUUGCCUGUUUUUGAAUAAAAACAAAUUGAUUAUUUGUCUUUUUUGUUGAGUUUCUGGAGUUUAUACAUUUUUUGGAGAGACAUCCUUAGAUAUAAAAAUUAUAAAUAUUUUCCCCCAUUUUCAUUGUUUUUAAUUUUUAUUUUGCUUAUUUCUUUAAUUAUUUAUUUAUUUAGUUUGAGACAGAGUCUCGCUCUGUCAUACAGUCUGGAGUGCAGUGGUACAAUCUCGGCUCAUUGCAACUCCAUUUCCCAGGCUCAAGUGAUUCUCCUGCCUCAGCCUCCUGAGUAGCUGGGAUUACACGUCUGCACCACCACGCCCAGCUAAUUUUUGUAUUUUUAGUAGAGACGGGGUUUCACCAUGUUGCCAAAGCUGGUCUCAAACUCCUGACCUCGUGAUCCACCCACCUCGGCCUCCCCAAGUGCUGGGCCACCGUGCCCGGAACUUCAUUGUUUUUAAAAAGUUUUAAAAUCUUGUUCUUUCAUUUUUUAACAAUGAAGUGAAAACAAAGUUUAAAAACACCUGCAUUUUUAAAGCCUCUUAAAAAGCAAUAAUUUAUUUAACAAAUUCCAACUUAAAAAUUUUGUUUUCUUCAUUAUUCCUCGUUUCUUUUUGUCUUUUCUAGGAUAUUUUUGCCUGCUCUGAGGUCAAGAACAAUUCUGUCCAUGUUUUCUUCUGGAUGCUGUAUUGUUUUAGAUUUUGUAUUUAGGUCUAUGAUCUAGUUCAAGGUAAUUUUGUGAUGUAUCCAGAGUUAGAAGUCAAGGUUUCUUUCUUCCAUACAGAUACCUACCGUUUCCAUUAUCAUUUGUUGAGGACUGUCCUCAUCCUCAGAGUAGACAAAAAUAUCCUAGAAAAGAUAACUUUCUUUUCAAUAUUUUUCAAAAUUCCAUCAACUAUCAAGUGAAUUUGUCAGAUACCUGUUCUGUUCCACAGCUUUAAAGAUAGAUUUGUAUGCCAAUGCCAUUAGUUCCUUAAUUAAAUACCUUUAUAAUAAGCCUUGAAAUCAGGUAGUGUCCGUCCUUUUGAUUAAAAAAAAGUAUUAGCUUUGAAUUUAUUAAGUAUAUUGCUUUGAAUUUCCUUACGAGUAGUUGAAGCAACGUGUCAGCCUCUAGAGACAUACUUGCUGGGUGGUAUUGAGUCCACAGAUCCAUUGGGAGAGACCUGACAUCUUAAUAACAUUGAAUCUCUAAUCUAUGAACAUAGUACAUGUCUCUACAUGUUAACUUAAUUUUCUCUGUGAAUUUUUUAAUACAAAGUUCUAACACACAAUUUUAAAAAUUUAUUACAAAGUAUUUUCUGUUUUUAGAUGUUAUUAUAAAUACCUUAAAGUUUUAUUUUCCAAUUGUUUCUUGCUAGUGUAUAGUAAUGAAAUUGGUUUUAGCAUAUUGACCUUAUGUCCUAUCACCUGGGUUAAUUCAUUUAUUAAUUCUAGUAAUUGCUUUGCAUAUCCUUUGUAUUUUUUUAAGAAAAAAAUUGUAUUGGCAUCAAAUAAAGACAAGUUUAAUUCUUUCUUUCAAUCUUUAUUUCUUUUUAUUUUUAAAUACUUCAUUUCAUUCUUUAGGGACCUGUAACACAAUGUGGAAUAAAAGGACUC
Molecule: long non-coding RNA, 6343 nt
Organism: Gorilla gorilla gorilla (western lowland gorilla)
Lineage: Eukaryota; Metazoa; Chordata; Mammalia; Primates; Hominidae
Exons: 3
Source: RefSeq, a predicted model, not a curated record